GGAAACACCAUCUACGUCUAGUGCCAAAAAGCGCCAAGAACAUAGCAGUCGUAUAAUUUGUAAUCACUCCCACAAAGAAGAAAGCCGAAAGAAAAAACAACCUAUAAUUCGAGGCUCCUCGCCCACAAACUACCACUGGCAAAGCCGGAGUGAGGCCAGCUGACUGAACUGAGCGACAGGAGGAUCUCUGCGGCCGGACCAUGUGAGUUCCUGUCAAAUCACCCGUACUAGUACAUCACAUGUGGAGCUACAGAGACAAGGGAAUUAAGAGGAGGUUCCCAGCAGAGCUUCAUCGUCAUGCUUGCCUCCGCACAUCAGAUCAAGGGAAUUAGAUGGACGGCCCAGAUGGAGCGAAUCUCGAUCGCCGGAACCCAGAUGCAGAGCUUCAUUCCCCGGGGAUCCAGAUCGGGUUCUCUCGUACGCGCGCAUGCAGACCUGCGACUGGGUGGAGUAAAAUCACGUGCUGCGAGCAAAGCGGGCAAGUGCUACCGGCUCGAACCUGGACCUGGAUCAAGUAAUCAUCAAGACAGUUCUGGCAAAUACUAAGAUAUACCUGUGUCUGUCUGCCAGUCAGUCUUCAGUUGCUCGGCCACUUCUCACGAUCAUCUCCAUUUAUUACACACAUUCUGCAGAAAACUGAGAGUUCAUUGAAUGCGAGAUCCGAUCCGGCCACAGAGAAGAUGAAGAGCUUUAAUGCACGAGGAGAGUAAUGUGUGCUAGCAGUUAAAUUCACAACAUUGUCCCCUCGCAAAAAAUAAAAAUAAAAAAAAUCACGACACUGUCUUACCAAUGAGACCGCCAGAAUUGACAAAUAUGACCCUUCUUUUUCAUACUCGGAAGCACAAAAAAAAGAAACUCUGUUCAGACUGCGACCACACACAAUGGAAGUGCUCCAGAGAAGAUCAUGCCUGCAGCAGGACAAAGAGUGAGUCAGCUUCAUGCUGGCGAUCUGCACCAACCAAACGAUAUACGUAUUACGUGUUCUACCCAAUCAAUACGGCGUUCUGCAGAUCAGAUAACCGGUGCAUGCUCACAGUCACAGAGGUCUGAAAUAUGAGAAUUUCAAGUGAAAACAUAAGAGUUACUAUCAAGG
RNAcentral lists this long non-coding RNA (1093 nucleotides) under Hordeum vulgare. RNAcentral's name for it is "long non-coding RNA (HVUL_LNC012541)". The record is from RNAcentral. Lineage: Eukaryota; Viridiplantae; Streptophyta; Magnoliopsida; Poales; Poaceae.